CUUUAACCCCUUAAGGUCCAAACUUCUGGAAUAAAAGGGAAUCAUGACAUGUCACACAUGUCAUGUGUCCUUAAGGGGUUAAUGACAACUCUUUGUACUGUUUUUAAGCCAAGAACAAGCAUUUUCAUCUAGACCGAUUUCCUUGAGUUUGAACACUAAUCUAUUGUGUGGAACUGUAUCAAAUUCCUUGGUGAAAUCCAAAUAGAUCACAUCCACUGCAACACCCUGAUCUAUACUUCUACUUACUUCUUUGUAGAACGCAAUCAAGUUAGUUUUACAUGACCUGUGCUUUAUAAAACCGUGCUGAUUUUUUUUCUGAUAACCAUGUUCUUCUCAAGGAAUUCUUGAAUAUUAUCCCUUAAUAACCUUUCAAAUAUUUUCCCAGCCACAGAAGUCAAGCUCACAGGUCUAUAAUUUCCAGGCAAGGAUUUUGAACCCUUUUUGAAUAUAAGAACCACAUCUGACUUCCUCCAAUUCUCCGG
Pelobates cultripes (western spadefoot toad) is the source of this 482-nucleotide non-coding RNA. NCBI's taxonomy places the organism in Eukaryota, Metazoa, Chordata, Amphibia, Anura, Pelobatidae. The record is from the annotation of a GenBank genome assembly.